RNAcentral lists this ribosomal RNA (506 nucleotides) under uncultured bacterium. RNAcentral's name for it is "partial 16S ribosomal RNA". It matches the Rfam family "Bacterial small subunit ribosomal RNA", at positions 29 to 523 of the family's 1533-position model. The record is from RNAcentral.
AGUGAACGCUGGCGGUAGGCCUAACACAUGCAAGUCGAACGGCAGCACAGGAGAGCUUGCUCUCUGGGUGGCGAGUGGCGGACGGGUGAGGAAUACAUCGGAAUCUACUCUGUCGUGGGGGAUAACGUAGGGAAACUUACGCUAAUACCGCAUACGACCUACGGGUGAAAGCAGGGGACCUUCGGCCCUUCCGCGAUCGAAUGAGCCGAUGUCGGAUUAGCUAGUUGGCGGGGUAAAGGCCCACAAAGGCGACGGUCCGUAGCUGGUCUGAGAGGAUGAUCAGCCACACUGGAACUGAGACACGGUCCAGACUCCUACGGGAGGCAGCAGUGGGGAAUAUUGGACAAUGGGCGCAAGCCCGAUCCAGCCAUACCGAGUGGGUGAAGAAGGCCUUCGGGUUGUAAAGCCCUUUUGUUGGGAAAGAAAUCCAGCUGGCUAAUACCCGGUUGGGAUGACGGUACCCAAAGAAUAAGCACCGGCUAACUUCGUGCCAGCCGCCGCGGUAA